RNAcentral lists this unclassified non-coding RNA (377 nucleotides) under uncultured Simkaniaceae bacterium. Its description in RNAcentral is "contains 16S-23S intergenic spacer region". The record is from RNAcentral. Lineage: Bacteria; Pseudomonadati; Chlamydiota; Chlamydiia; Parachlamydiales; Simkaniaceae.
UCCUAGUUAACCUAGGCAGUCUCAUUAGAGUCCCCACCUUUCGUGUUGGCAACUAAUGAUAAGGGUUGCGCUCGUUGCGGGACUUAACCCAACACCUCACGGCACGAGCUGACGACAGCCAUGCAGCACCUAUACAGCAGUCCUUACGGAAAUGGCUAUCUCUAGCCACGUCUCCUGCAUUUCGAGCCUGGGUAAGGUUCUUCGCGUUGCAUCGAAUUAAACCACAUGCUCCACUGCUUGUGCGGGCCCCCGUCAAUUCUUUUGAGUUUCACCCUUGCGAGUGUACUCCUCAGGCGGUAUACUUAACGCGUUCGCUCCGGUACAGCCAGGGUUGAGCCCAGCUACACCAAGUAUACAUCGUUUACGGCAAGGACUAC